This 306-nucleotide ribosomal RNA is filed under the name Triticum aestivum (bread wheat). Its description in RNAcentral is "partial small subunit ribosomal RNA". The record is from RNAcentral. Lineage: Eukaryota; Viridiplantae; Streptophyta; Magnoliopsida; Poales; Poaceae.
AUGUGUGUCAUUUCUCUUCCAAUGCCGCGAAAGACCCAAGAUCGUAUUAUUCAUUUGGUGAGUCCAUCCGGCACACACAUACCACAGUUAUACAGAACAGGACUUGACAAGUCAAGUGACAAACAGUACGGGCACCAAAUUGCGGCUCGGCUCACACACUAUCUUGUACACGAACGAUCGUGCCCGUGCGCAUGCACACGCCAUCUCUCCAGCAUUCCCCUCCCUUGCAUCACUUGUAUGGAACGGCGACCCUGUCCGGCCCGGACUUCAUGUCCUCCCAGAGCAGAUCGGACAACGCCAGCAUAA